AGAGUUUGAUCAUGGCUCAGAACGAACGUUGGCGGCGUGGAUUAGGCAUGCAAGUCGAACGCGAACCCGCAAGGGGGAGAGUGGCGUAAGGGGCAGUAAGGCGUGAAUAACCUACCCUGGAGUCGUGAAUAGCCAGCCUAACGGCUGGGUAAUGCACGGCACCGUAGCGAGGCGGCAUCGCCAUGCUACGAAAGAUUUAUCGCUCCGGGAGGGGUUCACGUGCUAUUAGCUUGUUGGUGAGGUAACGGCUCACCAAGGCUAAGAUGGCUAGCGGGUGUGAGAGCACGACCCGCGCCACUGGCACUGAGACACUGGCCAGACACCUACGGGUGGCUGCAGUCGAGGAUCUUCCGCAAUGGACGAAAGUCUGACGGAGCGACGCCGCGUGUGCGAUGAAGGCCUUCGGGUUGUAAAGCACUGUCGAGGGGGAGGAAGCCGCAAGGUUGACCGAUCCCUGGAGGAAGCACGGGCUAAGUUCGUGCCAGCAGCCGCGGUAAUAC
RNAcentral lists this ribosomal RNA (500 nucleotides) under uncultured bacterium. RNAcentral describes it as "bacterial SSU rRNA". It matches the Rfam family "Bacterial small subunit ribosomal RNA", at positions 8 to 526 of the family's 1533-position model. The record is from RNAcentral.